RNAcentral lists this unclassified non-coding RNA (263 nucleotides) under Hevea brasiliensis (rubber tree). The record is from RNAcentral. Lineage: Eukaryota; Viridiplantae; Streptophyta; Magnoliopsida; Malpighiales; Euphorbiaceae.
GGCCUGGACAGCUUUUUAUCGGCAGAGUGUGCUCGAGCGAUGGCGAUGAACGGGAGGAGCGGUAUGGGUGUUGAGCCACCCUUCCUGUGGCCGGAAGGAUUGACGGUGGCUGCUGACGAGAUGCGGCGGCAGUGGCACAUUGAAGCGCUGCAUCAGCAGCAACAGCACCCUCACCAGCAGCAAGAUCUGCCAUCGGUUUGCUGGGAGAGGGGAGAUGACGCAACACCUCACACCUUCAUUGCUCCGACAACCUCACAUCUUUA